AGAAUGCCGAAGAAGGAAUUCCUAAGAAUGCUGGGCUAAUCUGGCACUGUGAAGUGUGAACUUUGUAAGGAAUCCUUAAGAUUCCUUUCAAUCCUGGCGACAGUGGCAGGGCCCAUCAACGCCCAUACUUGAGUGACCUGGAAGGACGAAAGAAAUGGGACUGUUGAACUCUAGUUUGGACAAAAACCAAUGAGGUUUGUCCAAUGUGGCCACCAUACAGAGACAUGUGACCUCAUUUCCUAUAUGAACCAAGGGUAGGUUAAUCUUGUAACUAAGCAAUCAAAUGUCAGCCAAUCACAGCAAAGAAAUUCCAGCCAAUCACAGGAAUGGAUUCAAUUACAGGCUGCCAGUUGAUUACAUGGUGCAUGCUGCACAUGAUGCCUGCAGCCAAUCAGAAUGUAUCGGAAAGAUUCGCUGCUCUUCCGCUGUUUAACUGCCAGGUGUGCAGUGAAUCUGGAGUAGAACAGAUCUGGACCUUGUUAAUGUAUCUGCUGGAAGCUUUCCUGUAAGGAUCCCUACCCAGGAACCAACAGAGAAACUGUGUCCCUCAAUGGCUUUUGGGGGCAAUUCAGAGGUGCUGGGGGCGGCUCGGACUUGACUGUGGAGCUGACAUGCCUGGCAAUAUUGAAACCAUGCAUCUGGGGCCACUGGUCUGCUCGAGAUGACUUUGCCAACUGUAGCCCAGCCUGAGAAUCCUGCAGAGUCUGGCAUGGGAGGAGACAAAGAAGUCUCAGAGCAGGGCUCUGGAGACUUAAAAGGGAAGGCAAUUGCUAGGACAGUCUUGAGGAAUGUUUGGAAUGGGGAGGGGAAGUGGGAGGAGCCCCUGGGAACUCAGGCCCUAUACUGCCCCCUGUGGGCUACAGAAAAGAUGCAGGCCUCCAACUUCUCUUCCUCUUCAUCCCAAGGGACCUGUCUGGAGGAAGAAGGAACUACACCAGCCCAGGAAAUGGAGCAGGGUUUCAUAUCAGAAGCCUCCACAGGUGUUGCAGUAGGAAUCUCUGGAAGGCUUUAGAGCAGCCAACCAGGCUGCUCCUCUGUUUUGAUGCAUCUUCAUGCCCAAGUGGAUGGACCCUGGGACUUGAAGCUUGUCUCGAGCUGAGUGCUGCCUAGCUAGGACCCUUCCUGACCUGCUCAGUGCCCAGG
RNAcentral lists this long non-coding RNA (1143 nucleotides) under Mus spicilegus (steppe mouse). RNAcentral describes it as "lncRNA (ENSMSIG00000007470.1)". The record is from RNAcentral. Lineage: Eukaryota; Metazoa; Chordata; Mammalia; Rodentia; Muridae.